This 497-nucleotide ribosomal RNA is filed under the name uncultured bacterium. Its description in RNAcentral is "partial 16S ribosomal RNA". It matches the Rfam family "Bacterial small subunit ribosomal RNA", at positions 28 to 507 of the family's 1533-position model. The record is from RNAcentral.
GAUGAACGCUGGCGGCGUGCCUAAUACAUGCAAGUCGAGCGAACAGACGAGGUGCUUGCUCCUCUGACGUUAGCGGCGGACGGGUGAGUAACACGUGGAUAACCUACCUAUAAGACUGGGAUAACUUCGGGAAACCGGAGCUAAUACCGGAUAAUAUAUUGAACCGCAUGGUUCAAUAGUGAAAGACGGUUUUGCUGUCACUUAUAGAUGGAUCCGCGCCGCAUUAGCUAGUUGGUAAGGUAACGGCUUACCAAGGCGACGAUGCGUAGCCGACCUGAGAGGGUGAUAGGCCACACUGGAACUGAGACACGGUCAAGACUCCUAAGGGAGGCAGAAGUAGGGAAUCUUCCGCAAUGGGCGAAAGCCUGAAGGAGCAACGCCGCGUGAGUGAUGAAGGUCUUCGGAUCGUAAAACUCUGUUAUUAGGGAAGAACAAAUGUGUAAGUAACUAUGCACGUCUUGACGGUACCUAAUCAGAAAGCCACGGCUAACUACGUG